GAUGAACGCUGGCGGCGUGCCUAAUACAUGCAAGUCGAGCGAACAGACGAGGAGCUUGCUCCUCUGACGUUAGCGGCGGACGGGUGAGUAACACGUGGAUAACCUACCUAUAAGACUGGGAUAACUUCGGGAAACCGGAGCUAAUACCGGAUAAUAUAUUGAACCGCAUGGUUCAAUAGUGAAAGACGGUUUUGCUGUCACUUAUAGAUGGAUCCGCGCCGCAUUAGCUAGUUGGUAAGGUAACGGCUUACCAAGGCAACGAUGCGUAGCCGACCUGAGAGGGUGAUCGGCCACACUGGAACUGAGACACGGUCCAGACUCCUACGGGAGGCAGCAGUAGGGAAUCUUCCGCAAUGGGCGAAAGCUUGACGGAGCAACGCCGCGUGAGUGAUGAAGGUCUUCGGAUCGUAAAACUCUGUUAUUGGGGAAGAACAAAUGUGUAAGUAACUAUGCACGUCUUGACGGUACCUAAUCAAAAAGCCACGGCUAACUACGUG
RNAcentral lists this ribosomal RNA (497 nucleotides) under uncultured bacterium. Its description in RNAcentral is "partial 16S ribosomal RNA". It matches the Rfam family "Bacterial small subunit ribosomal RNA", at positions 28 to 507 of the family's 1533-position model. The record is from RNAcentral.